CGACCUUCAACAAGUUCAGGUUUUCACCAACUUUUGGUAAUCAUCAACUUCGCGUUUGCUUAGAUCCAGCUCCUCGUAGUCUGGUAAGUAUCCUACCAUUUUGAUGUCUUCGUACGACUCUCGAGUUUGCAUGAGAGUUGAGAAGCGAGAGUUUGCAUGAGAGUUGAUGAGAGUUGAGAAGCAAGAGUUUGCAUGAGAGUUGAGAAGCGAGAGUUUACAUGAGAGUUCAUGAGAGUUGAGAAGCGAGAGUUUACAUGAGAGUUGAUGAGAGUUGAGAAGCGAGAGUUUGCAUGAGAGUUGAGAAGCGAGAGUUUACAUGAGAGUUGAUGAGAGUUGAGAAGCGAGAGUUUGCAUGAGAGUUGAGAAGCGAGAGUUUACAUGAGAGUUGAUGAGAGUUGAGAAGCGAGAGUUUACAUGAGAGUUGAUGAGAGUUGAGAAGCGAGAGAUUGCAUGAGAGUUG
Paramuricea clavata is the source of this 460-nucleotide non-coding RNA. NCBI's taxonomy places the organism in Eukaryota, Metazoa, Cnidaria, Anthozoa, Malacalcyonacea, Plexauridae. The record is from the annotation of a GenBank genome assembly.